This 374-nucleotide long non-coding RNA is filed under the name Mytilus galloprovincialis (Mediterranean mussel). Lineage: Eukaryota; Metazoa; Mollusca; Bivalvia; Mytilida; Mytilidae. The record is from RNAcentral.
AAGACUAGAUUGAUUGAUUGUUGGUUGCUUAACGUCCAGUGGCAAAUAUUUCAUGCAUAUUCAGGACGAGAACAAGUUCACAAUAAAUACAAUAGGUAGGUUGUUGUAAUAGAGGCCAUCUAGGAUGAUGGUCGGGGAAAUUUGGACUGCCACUGGAAAAUGAGGGUAUAUUGGAUAGGGACAGAAAUUUUGCCUUGCAACAGGCCACCUACGGACCCCUCAAAGAGUUGUUGCAAGGGUUCUUAACGUGCAAAGAGCGUGGCACUCUCUUUACACGAGGCAUCGGAUUUAACGUCCCCUUCUGACGGACGUGACUGCGAACUUGAUACAUCCCGCACAGCCAAACGGACGCCCCACUUCGGUAAGCGUUUUAC